UCAUUCAUGGCAAUUACACAAUUCACAGACAUACAAUUCAAUUUAAAACAUAUAAAUGUAUGACUUAAUUACACAAACUUACCUCGACGAGGGUACCUAGAUACGGAGGCGACUAAUCCGAUAUUUUCUCUUUGCCUCGAUCUAACUUUGUACAAGGUCUGACAGGAUCUAUAUGGAUAAAUUUAACCCUAUUCAAAAAAUUUCACAUUCAAUUUAGUCCAACAUGUAAUUUUGGCAAAAUUAUCAUUUUGCCCCUGUACUUUUAAAUUUAGUCCCUAGGCUCGUAAAAUGAAAUUCAUUUAAUAUUACCCCUACCCAAGCGUAUUCAAACUAUAUACAUGAUUAUAGUAGCCCACAUAUUUCACAAAUUUACAACUUUAACCAUGAAUUUAUCACAUUUUUCAAGUUAAUUCCUAUUUGACAUUUUCACUAAAAAUUCC
RNAcentral lists this long non-coding RNA (440 nucleotides) under Gossypium barbadense (sea-island cotton). Its description in RNAcentral is "long non-coding RNA (GBAR_LNC007497)". The record is from RNAcentral. Lineage: Eukaryota; Viridiplantae; Streptophyta; Magnoliopsida; Malvales; Malvaceae.